GAUGAACGCUGGCGGCGUGCCUAAUACAUGCAAGUCGAGCGAACAGAUGAGAAGCUUGCUUCUCUGAUGUUAGCGGCGGACGGGUGAGUAACACGUGGGUAACCUACCUAUAAGACUGGGAUAACUCCGGGAAACCGGGGCUAAUACCGGAUAAUAUUUUGAACCGCAUGGUUCAAUAGUGAAAGACGGUUUCUGCUGUCACUUAUAGAUGGACCCGCGCCGUAUUAGCUAGUUGGUAAGGUAACGGCUUACCAAGGCGACGAUACGUAGCCGACCUGAGAGGGUGAUCGGCCACACUGGAACUGAGACACGGUCCAGACUCCUACGGGAGGCAGCAGUAGGGAAUCUUCCGCAAUGGGCGAAAGCCUGACGGAGCAACGCCGCGUGAGUGAUGAAGGUCUUCGGAUCGUAAAACUCUGUUGUUAGGGAAGAACAAAUUUGUUAGUAACCGAACAAAUCUUGACGGUACCUAACCAGAAAGCCACGGCUAACUACGUGCCAGCAGCCGCCGUAA
Molecule: ribosomal RNA, 514 nt
Filed under: uncultured bacterium
Lineage: Bacteria
Description: partial 16S ribosomal RNA
Rfam family: Bacterial small subunit ribosomal RNA
Source: RNAcentral